AUAUAGAUUAAGUUAUUAAGGGCGCACGGUGGAUGCCUUGGCACUAGAAGCCGAUGAAGGACGUUACUAACGACGAUAUGCUUUGGGGAGCUGUAAGUAAGCUUUGAUCCAGAGAUUUCCGAAUGGGGAAACCCAGCACGAGUUAUGUCGUGUUAUCUGCAUGUGAAUACAUAGCAUGCAAGAAGGCAGACCCGGAGAACUGAAACAUCUUAGUACCCGGAGGAAGAGAAAGAAAAAUCGAUUCCCUGAGUAGCGGCGAGCGAAACGGGAAGAGCCCAAACCAAUAAGCUUGCUUAUUGGGGUUGUAGGACACUCUGUACGGAGUUACAAAAGAAUUUGUUAGACGAAUAACCUGGAAAGGUUAAUCAGAGAAGGUAAUAAUCCUGUAGUCGAAAACGAAUUCUCUCUUGAGUGGAUCCUGAGUACGACGGAGCACGUGAAAUUC
Molecule: ribosomal RNA, 445 nt
Filed under: Staphylococcus pseudintermedius
Lineage: Bacteria; Bacillati; Bacillota; Bacilli; Caryophanales; Staphylococcaceae
Description: partial 23S ribosomal RNA
Rfam family: Bacterial large subunit ribosomal RNA
Source: RNAcentral